This 2460-nucleotide long non-coding RNA is filed under the name Polistes dominula (European paper wasp). RNAcentral's name for it is "uncharacterized LOC107073392, transcript variant X1". Lineage: Eukaryota; Metazoa; Arthropoda; Insecta; Hymenoptera; Vespidae. The record is from RNAcentral.
AGAGAGAGAGAGAGAGAGAGAUGCAUUAUAUUAUAUUUAGAAAUUCUCAUCAUGGUUGAACAUCAUACGCGUUGCAAUUUAAACGAAGAAUAAUUUUCAAGGAUGUAAAAGAGUAGUGUUACUAAAAGGAUACAGGAAGUAAAAGUUUGUCUCUUAUUUUCGAACACGAGUCCAAACGUAGAUCAGAAUUGCGAGAGAAGAAGAAGAAAAAGAAGAAGAAAAGAAUACACAGGUAAAAAUGAUUUCUUCGACGUACUAGAGAUUUACGGUAUGUCACGCGAAAGGUCUUCGGUCAAAUUGUUUCACAUUGAUUUUCAGGUCGAAGAUGAGAGAAAGAGAAAGAAAGAAAGAAAGAAAGAAAAAAAGAAAGAAAGAGAGAGAGAGAGAGGCGUCUGUACCGCUUCGUCUGCCCACACGCGACGUCUCUGAGAAGGCAUUGUGGUUUCCAGGCACUUAUUUAUGUGCAGCUCGACGUUUCCGCCCCUUCCGCCUAUAGUUUAGGGCCGUUGACUUGAACGAAAGCGUCCAAGUGGAAGGAAGGCAUCGUGCCAUCGUCGUCGUCUUCGUCGUCGUCUUCGUCGUCAUCUUCGACGUUUCCCGUUGUCACUUUGUCGCAACACCGACGACGACCUUUUCUUUCAUCGUUUCUCGCGACAGGUGUAAUUACACGGAUGAGAUGAGAUGAGACGAGACGAUACGACUAACUCUCACUUCUAUGUCUUCUAAUGGAAAUUCAUUUUUCGUCCUUCGAAACGUCUAGCGCAAAUUAAUCGGAGAAGGAAAUAAAUCGCUGUUACAACGUUCGACCACUUUCUCGGAGAAUGACUAUUUCGUCGUGUUUAAUAACUGUCGAGUCGUGUGUUUAUGUUUGUCUUAACUGGUAAAUGAAAAUGUAUUUACAAAAGGGAAGGAUUGAAUUGGAAGGAAAGUAGUUCUUGUAUAGCUUUAUUUUUCUUCCUUUAUAUCUGACACAAAAUUUUUUCAACAAUGAGCGAUAUAUUAUACAUUGUUUGUUCGUUAGAUUAUUAUAAGAACUUUUAUAUAUCGAGAUAUAACGGGGAAUCGUAAGAGUUUGAUAUAUCGGAUUAAAAAAUAAAAAAAAAGGAAAAAAGAAACAAAGGAAAAAGUUGCGUGAAAAUAACUACGCCCGUUGACCCGAAACACAUUCUCUCUCUCUUUCUCUUUCUUUAUAUAAUAUAAGAAAGAUUUUUGCUCUUGGCGCGUACACAACGCGUAUGCAAAAUAAGCGACGACGGGCUCAUAACGUAUGUAUCUCGCUUUCUAUCGGAGCUCGCGAAACCAUAUUAGUGCAUCCUGCAUUGCGCAAACCGUACGGCCAGCUGCAAUCCUGGCUCCAUAUUAGCCUUCUUGUCCACCACUACUUUCGCGGCUUGGCUUAUUGAUUGGGUUAUAAUCGACGAAAAAUACGGAGUCGAUGGCCCAUUACACGAGCUUCUCCGUUCGAUCGUCUUUCGAUUCUUCGCCAUUUCAUCGUCACCCUCAUCUUCGUUUAGUUGUUCCGCUUACAGUCGUACGCGGAUGCAUUUUACGUCCGCCUAUGUAUUUUAUAUUAAGUUCUAUUUCUUUUUAUUAUUUUAUUAUUAUUAUAUUAUUUCAUCCCCUUCCAUAUCUUAUAGAUUCGAAACCGUUCGUUCAACUGCUAACAACAACAACGCAACACGAGCUUCAGGAUCGCGAACGACUUCCACGAAACGAUUAUUUACCAGGAAGGAAGGACCUUUUGUGAACGACUAAGCGACUCAAGACGAUCGAGGAGGAUAUCGUCGUCGAUCAACGACCGUGCGAACGCCAGUGCGAGGGUUAUUUGUAAUUGUUAGGAUUGCAUUGUAACGAGAGCCUGAGUUAUUGGACGUCGUUGGGCAUAUCGUAUCCUUAUUGAAUCUCCUGUCACGUUACAGCGACGUCGUUAGUUUCGUUCAAAAAGUUAUGCGUGUCAAGGUAUUAUAGAUUUAGUCCUUUCUACCUGCAAAUAGGUCGAAGUUAUCCGAUUUCGCAGUUACGAAAGAGCCCAUUGAGUUAGUAUUUGCCGCUCGUUUAAUUCCACUCGCAGACCAAGAACGUAAUACGACGAAUAAGCAAGGACGAAUUUGAUCGGCGAGAUUAUAUAAUGCGGUUUAUUCAAAAAAGUAUAACUAAGGAAAAGUCAUUUUUAUGAUAAAAAUAGAUAACUAGGCUGAGGAAAAAAUUUCAUUGGCGUGGAGAAAGAUAGAUAAAUAAAGAAAGAGAAAGAGAAAAGACAAACAACGCUCUAUGUUACUGCGAGCUCACGAUCCGGCAGUACAAUAAAUUUCUUCGAAGUAUCGGCUGGUCUCGAGUGUGUCGCACCUUCGACUUGGCUCGCACGUCGUCGAAUUAAUUUCCACGCGUUUGCGGAGUCGGCACAGAGAAGAAGAAGAAGAAUAAAAAACAAAAAUAAAAAAAGAAGAAGAAGAGGGUGAU